Molecule: transfer RNA, 96 nt
Filed under: Burkholderia lata
Lineage: Bacteria; Pseudomonadati; Pseudomonadota; Betaproteobacteria; Burkholderiales; Burkholderiaceae
Description: tRNA-Ala
Source: RNAcentral
CGCGAUCGUCGCAGACGGCGGCACGGCUGUCGCGGUGCAGGCGGACGUUGCCGAUCCGGCGGCGGUAGCCGCGCUGUUCGACGCAGCCGAGCACGC